GAUGAACGCUGGCGGCGUGCCUAAUACAUGCAAGUCGAGCGAACGGACGAGAAGCUUGCUUCUCUGAUGCUAGCGGCGGACGGGUGAGUAACACGUGGAUAACCUACCUAUAAGACUGGGAUAACUUCGGGAAACCGGAGCUAAUACCGGAUGAUAUUUUGAACCGCAUGGUUCAAAAGUGAAAGACGGUCUUGCUGUCACUUAUAGAUGGGUCCGCGCUGCAUUAGCUAGUUGGUAAGGUAACGGCUUACCAAGGCAACGAUGCAUAGCCGACCUGAGAGGGUGAUCGGCCACACUGGAACUGAGACACGGUCCAGACUCCUACGGGAGGCAGCAGUAGGGAAUCUUCCGCAAUGGGCGAAAGCCUGACGGAGCAACGCCGCGUGAGUGAUGAAGGUCUUCGGAUCGUAAAACUCUGUUAUUAGGGAAGAACAUAUGUGUAAGUAACUGUGCACAUCUUGACGGUACCUAAUCAGAAAGCCACGGCUAACUACGUG
Molecule: ribosomal RNA, 497 nt
Filed under: uncultured bacterium
Lineage: Bacteria
Description: partial 16S ribosomal RNA
Rfam family: Bacterial small subunit ribosomal RNA
Source: RNAcentral